Molecule: ribosomal RNA, 253 nt
Filed under: uncultured bacterium
Lineage: Bacteria
Description: partial 16S ribosomal RNA
Rfam family: Bacterial small subunit ribosomal RNA
Source: RNAcentral
UACGUAGGCAGCAAGCGUUGUUCGGAAUUAUUGGGUUUAAAGGGUGCGUAGGCGGCCCCAUAAGUCAGUGCUGAAAUACUCUAGCUCAACUAGAGGGGUGGCAUUGAUACUGCGGGGCUUGAGUGGAGUCGAGGUAGGCGGAAUUGACGGUGUAGCGGUGAAAUGCUUAGAUAUCGUCAAGAACACCGAUAGUGUAGACAGCUUACUAGGCUUCAACUGACGCUGAGGCACGAAAGUGUGGGGAUCAAACAGG